Molecule: ribosomal RNA, 373 nt
Filed under: uncultured organism
Description: partial 16S ribosomal RNA
Rfam family: Bacterial small subunit ribosomal RNA
Source: RNAcentral
GUAGGUGGCAAGCGUUGUCCGGAAUUAUUGGGCGUAAAGCGCGCGCAGGCGGUCCUUUAAGUCUAAUGUGAAAGCCCACGGCUCAACCGUGGAGGGUCAUUGGAAACUGGGGGACUUGAGUACAGAAGAGGAAAGCGGAAUUCCACGUGUAGCGGUGAAAUGCGUAGAGAUGUGGAGGAACACCAGUGGCGAAGGCGGCUUUCUGGUCUGUAACUGACGCUGAGGCGCGAAAGCGUGGGGAGCAAACAGGGAUUAGAUACCCUGGUAGUCCACGCCGUAAACGAUGAGUGCUAAGUGUUAGGGGGUUUCCCGCCCCUUAGUGCUGCAGCUAACGCAUUAAGCACUCCGCCUGGGGAGUACGGCCGCAAGGCUG